RNAcentral lists this ribosomal RNA (422 nucleotides) under uncultured bacterium. RNAcentral describes it as "bacterial SSU rRNA". It matches the Rfam family "Bacterial small subunit ribosomal RNA", at positions 355 to 774 of the family's 1533-position model. The record is from RNAcentral.
UGAGGAAUAUUGGGCAAUGCCCGAAAGGGUGACCCAGCAACGCCGCGUGGAGGAUGAAGGUCGUAAGAUUGUAAACUCCUGUUAGAGGGGAAGAAUAACUAAGUUUGGAGCUUAGUAUGACUGUACCCUCAGAGAAAGCCCCGGCUAACUACGUGCCAGCAGCCGCGGUAAUACGUAGGGGGCAGGCGUUGUCCGGAUUUACUGGGUGUAAAGGGCGCGCAGGCGGAAUGGAAAGUCAGUGGUGAAAUCCUACAGCUUAACUGUAGAACUGCCUUUGAUACUUUCAUUCUUGAGUUCGGGAGAGAGAGACGGAAUUCCAGGUGUAGUGGUGAAAUACGUAGAUAUCUGGAAGAACACCAGUUGCGAAGGCGGUCUCUUGGUCCGAUACUGACGCUGAGGCGCGAAAGCGUGGGGAGCAAACA